CAAAACAGAAGCUGGCCAGCGGGGGCCUGGAGUCAGCAGAGCUUGUUGCCCGCAGCAUCAGGGCUGCAAGCCCGGCCUGUGUAGUGCUCUCCGCCAGAAUUGAGCGGGGGCAGCAGCCAGAGCCGGUUGGAGGCUGGAGGGAGAUGGCUCACCUCAGGCUACGUGGGAGCUGGGGGUUGGGGAAGCUGAAGCAGUGGUCACUCUGGACCAUAACCUGUCAGAAGAAGGAGGGUGGAUUCACCCCAUGAGGGGCUAGGUACGGCCAGUCUCCGGAAUGAGCUGGAAAAAAGGAAUCAACAGAGAGGAAGAAAAUUCUGGACAGUCUUUGGAAUCCUGCGUGGUCCUUUGUUUUGUCCUUGCCUCAAAGUCCUCCAGACCCUAAAACAGCCUCUUUUCCUCUCUUCCCUAAGUCUUUGGUAAUUCCUCAUUUGUUUUAAGCCUUAUAAUUCAGUUUUAAAAAAUUGCCUUUGUGAAACCUUUUCUGAUCUGGAACUGUUUGUUGAGAUAUU
Molecule: long non-coding RNA, 509 nt
Organism: Equus quagga
Lineage: Eukaryota; Metazoa; Chordata; Mammalia; Perissodactyla; Equidae
Exons: 3
Source: RefSeq, a predicted model, not a curated record